RNAcentral lists this ribosomal RNA (496 nucleotides) under uncultured bacterium. Its description in RNAcentral is "bacterial SSU rRNA". It matches the Rfam family "Bacterial small subunit ribosomal RNA", at positions 29 to 523 of the family's 1533-position model. The record is from RNAcentral.
AGCGAAUGUUUGCGGCGGGCCUAACACAUGCAAGUCGAACGGGCAGGGGCAACCCUGUCAGUGGCGCACGGGUGCGUAACACGUGGGUAAUCAACCCUUGGACUGGGACAACCCGGGGAAACUCGGGCUAAUACCGGAUGUGGCGUGGCGGUCCUCGGACUGCUCCGCGAAAGCUCCGCAAGGGGCACCAGAGGACGAGCCCGCGUCCCAUCAGCUAGUUGGUGAGGUAAUGGCUCACCAAGGCGAAGACGGGUAGCUGGUCUGAGAGGAUGAUCAGCCACACUGGAACUGAGACACGGUCCAGACUCCUACGGGAGGCAGCAGUGGGGAAUAUUGCGCAAUGGGCGAAAGCCUGACGCAGCCACGCCGCGUGUGCGAUGAAGGUCUUCGGAUCGUAAAGCACUGUGGGGGGANAAGAAACAAGCCGGUGAAGAGCCGGCCCUGACGGUAUCCCCUUAGCAAGCACCGGCUAACUCCGUGCCAGCAGCCGCGGUAA